GCCGCCAUAGCUCAGUCGGUCAGAGCAGGGGCCCCCAGCUCAAAAUCGCAGGAUUGAAUCCUGCUUGCGGGUA
This is a non-coding RNA of Parelaphostrongylus tenuis, 73 nucleotides long. The record is from the annotation of a GenBank genome assembly. Lineage: Eukaryota; Metazoa; Nematoda; Chromadorea; Rhabditida; Metastrongylidae.